Molecule: ribosomal RNA, 26 nt
Filed under: Polyozellus multiplex
Lineage: Eukaryota; Fungi; Basidiomycota; Agaricomycetes; Thelephorales; Thelephoraceae
Description: partial 28S ribosomal RNA
Source: RNAcentral
UUCCUAUUGAUGAACUCGAUGACAAA